Molecule: long non-coding RNA, 551 nt
Organism: Cajanus cajan (pigeon pea)
Lineage: Eukaryota; Viridiplantae; Streptophyta; Magnoliopsida; Fabales; Fabaceae
Source: RefSeq, a predicted model, not a curated record
GCAAACUAAAAUCUUUCACGUUUUCUCUCUUUUCGCACCUCUCUGCAAUUGCCUAGGGUUUCUCCGAGCCAUCGAAUUUUGCAGUUCCAUCUGGUUAUAGUUGAUUAUGCAGUGUCGUAUCUUUCUUCCCCCUCGCAAGAUUCUCAGGUGAAGCUGUGGAAGUGCGAUUUUGAUUUACUGAUACAGAGACAGCUAGGGGACAACAAGUUCCGCAAGAAUUCGAAUUGAAGCAUUCAAAACUCUGAGGGUGCUUGUUGCUAAGGAAACAAAAUCUUUUAUAAACAUUGACCCUUUAAGGCUAACCCCUCUUGCACCGAGUACUACCCCAGAUGAUUCUGACCAUGCUGUUGAUGAUGCUCUUGAUGACAUAGCAGAAGACCCUUAAUUAAGCUUCUUUAUUUUACUUGUUUCAGGAUAUUUUAUUGUAUUUCACUAUUACUUUGUUGAAGUUUAAACAUUUUAUGUUAUUAUUGUGUUUUUAGCAUACUAUAUUGACAUACUUAUAUUUUAUUUAGUUUUCAGUAUAAUAUAAAUUCUCAUCGAUAAGAUUA